This 2249-nucleotide ribosomal RNA is filed under the name Escherichia coli. Its description in RNAcentral is "bacterial LSU rRNA". It matches the Rfam family "Bacterial large subunit ribosomal RNA", at positions 591 to 2826 of the family's 2925-position model. The record is from RNAcentral. Lineage: Bacteria; Pseudomonadati; Pseudomonadota; Gammaproteobacteria; Enterobacterales; Enterobacteriaceae.
GUGUGACUGCGUACCUUUUGUAUAAUGGGUCAGCGACUUAUAUUCUGUAGCAAGGUUAACCGAAUAGGGGAGCCGAAGGGAAACCGAGUCUUAACUGGGCGUUAAGUUGCAGGGUAUAGACCCGAAACCCGGUGAUCUAGCCAUGGGCAGGUUGAAGGUUGGGUAACACUAACUGGAGGACCGAACCGACUAAUGUUGAAAAAUUAGCGGAUGACUUGUGGCUGGGGGUGAAAGGCCAAUCAAACCGGGAGAUAGCUGGUUCUCCCCGAAAGCUAUUUAGGUAGCGCCUCGUGAAUUCAUCUCCGGGGGUAGAGCACUGUUUCGGCAAGGGGGUCAUCCCGACUUACCAACCCGAUGCAAACUGCGAAUACCGGAGAAUGUUAUCACGGGAGACACACGGCGGGUGCUAACGUCCGUCGUGAAGAGGGAAACAACCCAGACCGCCAGCUAAGGUCCCAAAGUCAUGGUUAAGUGGGAAACGAUGUGGGAAGGCCCAGACAGCCAGGAUGUUGGCUUAGAAGCAGCCAUCAUUUAAAGAAAGCGUAAUAGCUCACUGGUCGAGUCGGCCUGCGCGGAAGAUGUAACGGGGCUAAACCAUGCACCGAAGCUGCGGCAGCGACACUGUGUGUUGUUGGGUAGGGGAGCGUUCUGUAAGCCUGCGAAGGUGUGCUGUGAGGCAUGCUGGAGGUAUCAGAAGUGCGAAUGCUGACAUAAGUAACGAUAAAGCGGGUGAAAAGCCCGCUCGCCGGAAGACCAAGGGUUCCUGUCCAACGUUAAUCGGGGCAGGGUGAGUCGACCCCUAAGGCGAGGCCGAAAGGCGUAGUCGAUGGGAAACAGGUUAAUAUUCCUGUACUUGGUGUUACUGCGAAGGGGGGACGGAGAAGGCUAUGUUGGCCGGGCGACGGUUGUCCCGGUUUAAGCGUGUAGGCUGGUUUUCCAGGCAAAUCCGGAAAAUCAAGGCUGAGGCGUGAUGACGAGGCACUACGGUGCUGAAGCAACAAAUGCCCUGCUUCCAGGAAAAGCCUCUAAGCAUCAGGUAACAUCAAAUCGUACCCCAAACCGACACAGGUGGUCAGGUAGAGAAUACCAAGGCGCUUGAGAGAACUCGGGUGAAGGAACUAGGCAAAAUGGUGCCGUAACUUCGGGAGAAGGCACGCUGAUACGUAGGUGAAGUCCCUCGCGGAUGGAGCUGAAAUCAGUCGAAGAUACCAGCUGGCUGCAACUGUUUAUUAAAAACACAGCACUGUGCAAACACGAAAGUGGACGUAUACGGUGUGACGCCUGCCCGGUGCCGGAAGGUUAAUUGAUGGGGUCAGCGCAAGCGAAGCUCUUGAUCGAAGCCCCGGUAAACGGCGGCCGUAACUAUAACGGUCCUAAGGUAGCGAAAUUCCUUGUCGGGUAAGUUCCGACCUGCACGAAUGGCGUAAUGAUGGCCAGGCUGUCUCCACCCGAGACUCAGUGAAAUUGAACUCGCUGUGAAGAUGCAGUGUACCCGCGGCAAGACGGAAAGACCCCGUGAACCUUUACUAUAGCUUGACACUGAACAUUGAGCCUUGAUGUGUAGGAUAGGUGGGAGGCUUUGAAGUGUGGACGCCAGUCUGCAUGGAGCCGACCUUGAAAUACCACCCUUUAAUGUUUGAUGUUCUAACGUUGACCCGUAAUCCGGGUUGCGGACAGUGUCUGGUGGGUAGUUUGACUGGGGCGGUCUCCUCCUAAAGAGUAACGGAGGAGCACGAAGGUUGGCUAAUCCUGGUCGGACAUCAGGAGGUUAGUGCAAUGGCAUAAGCCAGCUUGACUGCGAGCGUGACGGCGCGAGCAGGUGCGAAAGCAGGUCAUAGUGAUCCGGUGGUUCUGAAUGGAAGGGCCAUCGCUCAACGGAUAAAAGGUACUCCGGGGAUAACAGGCUGAUACCGCCCAAGAGUUCAUAUCGACGGCGGUGUUUGGCACCUCGAUGUCGGCUCAUCACAUCCUGGGGCUGAAGUAGGUCCCAAGGGUAUGGCUGUUCGCCAUUUAAAGUGGUACGCGAGCUGGGUUUAGAACGUCGUGAGACAGUUCGGUCCCUAUCUGCCGUGGGCGCUGGAGAAUUGAGGGGGGCUGCUCCUAGUACGAGAGGACCGGAGUGGACGCAUCACUGGUGUUCGGGUUGUCAUGCCAAUGGCACUGCCCGGUAGCUAAAUGCGGAAGAGAUAAGUGCUGAAAGCAUCUAAGCACGAAACUUGCCCCGAGAUGAGUUCUCCCUGACUCCUUGA